UUUAUGGAGAGUUUGAUCCUGGCUCAGAGUGAACGCUGGCGGCGUGCCUAAUACAUGCAAGUCGAACGAUGAAGCUUCUA
Molecule: ribosomal RNA, 80 nt
Filed under: Campylobacter coli
Lineage: Bacteria; Pseudomonadati; Campylobacterota; Epsilonproteobacteria; Campylobacterales; Campylobacteraceae
Also listed under: 1 other name
Description: partial 16S ribosomal RNA
Rfam family: Bacterial small subunit ribosomal RNA
Source: RNAcentral